AUGACGUCAAGUCCUCAUGGCCCUUAUGGUAGGGCUUCACACGUCAUACAAUGGUCGGUACAGAGGGUUGCCAAGCCGCGAGGUGGAGCCAAUCCCUUAAAGCCGAUCGUAGUCCGGAUCGUAGUCUGCAACUCGACUACGUGAAGUCGGAAUCGCUAGUAAUCGCAGAUCAGCAUGCUGCGGUGAAUACGUUCCCGGGUCUU
Molecule: ribosomal RNA, 203 nt
Filed under: uncultured Thauera sp.
Lineage: Bacteria; Pseudomonadati; Pseudomonadota; Betaproteobacteria; Rhodocyclales; Zoogloeaceae
Description: partial 16S ribosomal RNA
Rfam family: Bacterial small subunit ribosomal RNA
Source: RNAcentral